AUUCGAAAAUAAUAAGUGUUAAAGUGAAGUUCUCCAGUGAAAGUAAAAAAGUUUGAUAGAGAGGUUUCUCUUGAAAUAGUGCAUAGUUGCUAUAUAUAAAGAUUACUCAACUGCAAUGAAAAAGUGUGCAGAAUCUGUGGGAAAGGCAAAACUGCGGAGCUAUAUUAUGGCACGUCGACUGAAAUAGUUGGUAGCGCCCUUUGAGCUUUUUGCUGUGUACAAGGAAAAGAUAAUCUGCUCGUCGUCAUCGUCGUGAGCACUUUUGAGGCAUUUUCACAUUGAGGAAAUGGUUAAACAGGAAAUCAAUGGCCAAGUUUUUCCCCACAUUCGGCUAGAGAAAUUACACUGUAGGCAGGCAGAGGCAGAUGCCAGGAGCUUGUAAUAAAAUUGCUGAGGCAAGCAAAAAUUAUAGCCAGACCCCGGAGUGUAUGUUCUGACCUGGAAUUGAGGAGUUUGGAGUUUAGGAAGACAGUUGGGCGUUGAAAGUUGAUACGCGAUCGAACUUGAUCGCAAUGCGUGAGAAAAAGCCUUACAAUUAGCUCAAAAUGCUGCUUGUUCGGUCCCAUGUAGCCGUGAGAGUAUAUCUAAGCUAAACUGCGACCAAAUGUGUGUGUGUAUGUCGCGGCCUACACAGGGGUACUAAACAUCGUUUUUAUCAGAUUGUGAUUGCGUGGAUUGAAUAUAUAUAGGAACCCGUAUCGACUUCUCUGCUCUGCUAAGACUUGUUCGAAAGAAAGGCGCCCAAAUACAUACGUUAUAUAAACGGUCGUCUAUUAUUCACCUACCAUCGACCGUUAUCUCAAUACUGAUCGAAUAGAUACAACACUCUACUGACAUCGAUAGAUAUACAUAUAUAUCUAGUAUCUGGAGUAGCAACCGAUUGCGCGUUCAUUUCGCGCAAAGCAUAAACUGUAGAAUAUAUUUUAUUUACUUUAUAUAUUUUUUUUUCCUUUGUUAACGUAAACAUUUACGAGUACACGACAAGCGUGGCCUAACUCAUAAAAUACCUGAAACUGUAAAAAAUACAAAACAAUUUAUUUCUUCUGUUUUUGUACAAAUCCAAGAUUUAAGAAAACUUGUCUAUUGUUCUUGUAAUUACACUUGUCCAACUCACUUAUAGAAAAUGAGAAGAAAAAAAAGAAAAAAAAAAAUAUGAAAAAGAGCUCACCAAACAGAAAAGAAGCUACAAACAAAAAAGAAUAAAUGAAAUCUGAGAUCAAUAAAUUUCGAAACAAUUGUU
This 1240-nucleotide small RNA is filed under the name Drosophila mojavensis. RNAcentral's name for it is "GI26477". The stretch from base 646 to 733 matches the Rfam family "Heat shock gene hsromega conserved region 2". Lineage: Eukaryota; Metazoa; Arthropoda; Insecta; Diptera; Drosophilidae. The record is from RNAcentral.